Molecule: long non-coding RNA, 447 nt
Organism: Xenia sp. Carnegie-2017
Lineage: Eukaryota; Metazoa; Cnidaria; Anthozoa; Malacalcyonacea; Xeniidae
Exons: 3
Source: RefSeq, a predicted model, not a curated record
UUAAAAGAUCAAUGGAUUUUCUUAAACCUUGCAAUAUUCCAAUCUCCAUGUUAAUCACUGACAGGCACACACAAAUUGCCAAACAUAUGAGAGAGUAUUACCCACUACUUUGACCUUUGGCAUUUGACAAAAAAAGUGACCAAAGUCCUGACCAAACUUGCAGCAUGUGCUGGAUGUGAGUCUUUAUCAAGCUGUAUAAGACCUUAUUCCAACCAUUUGUACUGGAGUGCUAUAUCAACAUCCUCUGGUAAUGGAAAUAUGAUUGUGGCUAAGUAUCUUUCCUUGGUCAUGUCAAAAACCAACACAAUGGAUUUUCAGACCCUUUAUUUGACAAAUGUGCUCAGGAUUCCAACAUAAAACCAUGCAAAUGGCUAUAUGAAGAUUCUCUAUCAUACAAUAAGAUGUGUACAGCUUUAACUGGAGUUUCCCAGGUUAAAGUGCAUUAUC